Molecule: ribosomal RNA, 374 nt
Filed under: uncultured organism
Description: partial 16S ribosomal RNA
Rfam family: Bacterial small subunit ribosomal RNA
Source: RNAcentral
GUAGGGGGCAAGCGUUGUCCGGAAUUAUUGGGCGUAAAGAGCUCGUAGGCGGUUCGGUAAGUCGGGUGUGGAAAUCCAGGGCUCAACCCUGGGACGCCACUCGAUACUGCUGUGACUAGAGUCCGGUAGAGGAGCGUGGAAUUUCUGGUGUAGCGGUGAAAUGCGCAGAUAUCAGAAGGAACACCAGCGGCGAAGGCGGCGCUCUGGGCCGGUACUGACGCUGAGGAGCGAAAGCGUGGGGAGCAAACAGGGAUUAGAUACCCUGGUAGUCCACGCCGUAAACGUUGGGCACUAGGUAUGGGGUCUUAUCAACGGAUUCCGUGCCGUAGCUAACGCAUUAAGUGCCCCGCCUGGGGAGUACGGCCGCAAGGCUA